GGGGCGUUAUGCAAGCGGUCGAAGCGGCUUGAUUCUCAAUCAAGUAUUUCAUCGGUUCAAAUCCGAUACGCCCUGUCA
RNAcentral lists this transfer RNA (78 nucleotides) under Acidobacteriota bacterium. Its description in RNAcentral is "Acidobacteria bacterium tRNA-Glu". It matches the Rfam family "tRNA". From Rfam's summary of the family: Transfer RNA (tRNA) molecules are approximately 80 nucleotides in length. Their secondary structure includes four short double-helical elements and three loops (D, anti-codon, and T loops). The record is from RNAcentral. Lineage: Bacteria; Pseudomonadati; Acidobacteriota.